Molecule: ribosomal RNA, 235 nt
Filed under: uncultured bacterium
Lineage: Bacteria
Description: partial 16S ribosomal RNA
Rfam family: Bacterial small subunit ribosomal RNA
Source: RNAcentral
UGGCGGACGGGUGAGUAAUGUCUGGGAAACUGCCCGAUGGAGGGGGAUAACUACUGGAAACGGUAGCUAAUACCGCAUAACGUCGCAAGACCAAAGAGGGGGACCUUAGGGCCUCUUGCCAUCGGAUGUGCCCAGAUGGGAUUAGCUAGUAGGUGGGGUAAUGGCUCACCUAGGCGACGAUCCCUAGCUGGUCUGAGAGGAUGACCAGCCACACUGGAACUGAGACACGGUCCGG